Molecule: ribosomal RNA, 484 nt
Filed under: uncultured bacterium
Lineage: Bacteria
Description: partial 16S ribosomal RNA
Rfam family: Bacterial small subunit ribosomal RNA
Source: RNAcentral
AUUGAACGCUGGCGGCAGGCUUAACACAUGCAAGUCGAGCGGAGGAAGGGAGCUUGCUCCUGGAUUGAGCGGCGGACGGGUGAGUAAUGCCUAGGAAUCUGCCUGGUAGUGGGGGAUAACGUCCGGAAACGGGCGCGAAUACAGUAUACGAUCUGAGGGAGAAAGUGGGGGAGGUUUGUACCUCACGCUAUCAGAGGAGUUUAGGUCGUAUUAGCUAGUUGGUGGGGUUAAGGCCUACUAAGGCGACGAUCCGUAACUGGAUAGAGAGGAUGAUCAGGCACCCUGGAAGUGAGCCGGCGUCCAUGCUCCUGCGGGAGGCAGCAGUGUCCAAUAUUAGACAGUGGUCGGAAGCCUUGUCCAGCCGUGCGGCGCGUGUUUAGACGGUCUUCGGUUUGUAAAGAACUUUUAGUUGGUGGGAAGGUCAGUAAGUUAAUACCUUGCUGUUUUGACGUUACCAGCAGAAUAAGCACCGGCUAACUUCGUG